RNAcentral lists this ribosomal RNA (468 nucleotides) under uncultured bacterium. Its description in RNAcentral is "partial 16S ribosomal RNA". It matches the Rfam family "Bacterial small subunit ribosomal RNA", at positions 28 to 507 of the family's 1533-position model. The record is from RNAcentral.
GACGAACGCUGGCGGCGUGCCUAACACAUGCAAGUCGAACGGAACGGUCCUGCCUUUGUGCGCUGCUCGAGUGGCGAACGGGUGAGUAACACGUGAGUACCCUGCCCCUGACUUUGGGAUAACUUCAGGAAACUGGGGCUAAUACCGGAUAGGAGCUCUUGCUGUAUGGUGGGGGCUGGAAAGUUUAGGCGGUUGGGGAUGGACUGGCGGCUUAUCGGCUUGUUGGUGGGGUAGUGGCUUACCAUGGCCUUGCCGGGUAGCCGGCCUGGGAGGGUGAGCGGCCAAAUUGGGACUGAAAUACGGCCCGGACUCGUACGGGAGGGGACGGUGGGGAAUGUUGUAGUAGGUGCGGGAGCCUGGUGCAGCAACGCCACGUGCGGGAAGACAGCAGUCGGGUUGGAGUCCGCUUCUGCCUGUCACGAGACGUUAAUGACAGUAAUGGGAAAAGAAGCACCGGCUAACUACGUG